This 403-nucleotide ribosomal RNA is filed under the name uncultured bacterium. Its description in RNAcentral is "partial 16S ribosomal RNA". It matches the Rfam family "Bacterial small subunit ribosomal RNA", at positions 30 to 526 of the family's 1533-position model. The record is from RNAcentral.
AUUGAACGCUGGCGGCAGGCCUAACACAUGCAAGUCGAGCGAGCGGCGGGCGGGCGUGUAAUGCCUGGGACUUGCCAUGUCGAGGGGGAUAACAGUUGGAAACUACCGCUAAUACCGCAAACGAUUGUUUGCCAAGGUGGGUUUAGCUAGUUGGUGGGUUACUGGCUCACCAAGCCCACGAGCCCUAGCUGGUCUGAGAGGAUGAUCAGCCACACUGGAACUGAGACACGGUCCAGACUCCUACGGGAGGCAGCAGUGGGGAAUAUUGCACAAUGGGCGAAACCCUGAUGCAGCCAUGCCGCGUGUGUGAAGAAGGCCUUCGGGUUGUAAAGCACUUUCAGCGAGGAGGCGUUACUCGCAGAAGAAGCACCGGCUAACUCCGUGCCAGCCGCCGCGGUAAUAC